RNAcentral lists this ribosomal RNA (501 nucleotides) under uncultured bacterium. RNAcentral describes it as "partial 16S ribosomal RNA". It matches the Rfam family "Bacterial small subunit ribosomal RNA", at positions 30 to 523 of the family's 1533-position model. The record is from RNAcentral.
AUUGAACGCUGGCGGCAGGCUUAACACAUGCAAGUCGAGCGGAGCGAGGGUGCUUGCACCUUAGCUUAGCGGCGGACGGGUGAGUAAUGCUUAGGAAUCUGCCUAUUAGUGGGGGACAACAUUCCGAAAGGAAUACUAAUACCGCAUACGCCCUACGGGGGAAAGCAGGGGAUCUUCGGACCUUGCGCUAAUAGAUGAGCCUAAGUCGGAUUAGCUAGUUGGGGGGGUACAGGCCUACCAAGGCGACGAUCUGUAGCGGGUCUGAGAGGAUGAUCCGCCACACUGGGACUGGAACACGGCCCAGACUCCUACGGGAGGCAGCAGUAGGGAAUAUAGGACAAUGGGCGGAAGCCUGAUCCAGCCAUGCCGCGUGUGUGAAGAAGGCCUUUUGGUUGUAAAGCACUUUAAGCGAGGAGGAGGCUACUUAGAUUAAUACUCUGGGAUAGUGGACGUUACUCGCAGAAUAAGCACCGGCUAACUCUGUGCCAGCCGCCGCCGUAA